GGAAAGAAAGUGGCACCGAAGAGUCGCAGAGGAAAUGUUUUGUGUUUGUUUUUUUUGACUAAAAGUUCAACCGCAUUCAUUUCAUUCAGGUGAUCUGAUGCAAUUGUGUUCCUGCGAGGCACUGGGGGUUUACGUACAUAAUUGGCCUUGGUCGCACAGCUGAACCGCAUUGAUACAACUACCACCUACCAAAAACUGACCACCAGUCUUUGUUUUCUGUUUAAUUAACAAAAAUAAAAAUGAGUUCAUAAAAUACA
Molecule: long non-coding RNA, 257 nt
Organism: Cyprinodon variegatus (sheepshead minnow)
Lineage: Eukaryota; Metazoa; Chordata; Actinopteri; Cyprinodontiformes; Cyprinodontidae
Exons: 3
Source: RefSeq, a predicted model, not a curated record